UUUCCGUAGGUGAACCUGCGGAAGGAUCAUUCAUAAUAAGUGUUUUAUGGCACUUUUUUAAAUCCAUAUCCACCUUGUGUGCAAUGUCAGGGUUGAUUUUUCUCUCGAGAGGAUCAGCCCCCAAACAUCAACUAUAUCUCAACUCUUUGUCUGAAAAAUAUUAUGAAUAAAACAAUUCAAAAUACAACUUUCAACAACGGAUCUCUUGGCUCUC
Molecule: unclassified non-coding RNA, 214 nt
Filed under: plant metagenome
Description: partial contains small subunit ribosomal RNA, internal transcribed spacer 1, and 5.8S ribosomal RNA
Source: RNAcentral